RNAcentral lists this long non-coding RNA (416 nucleotides) under Carassius auratus (goldfish). Its description in RNAcentral is "lncRNA (ENSCARG00000064436.1)". The record is from RNAcentral. Lineage: Eukaryota; Metazoa; Chordata; Actinopteri; Cypriniformes; Cyprinidae.
CAGUAGCCCCGCCCCUCGUUCGCUAUCCUCCAAUAACAUUGCAGCAGGAUCAGACAGAGGACGUAGCCCCGCCCACUGUCGGAUCAACGGACAAACAGUCUCUACGCUCACUCACGGACACUUGCCGCUCCUGCUGGAACAUCUGAGCCGCGCGACUGUUAUUUUAUGUUGUUUAUAUUAGUUUGCUGGAUGAUCGCGUGCUGCACGUAGUAACGGUCGCAGCAUCCCCGCCCGCCCUGGAGUUGAGCACGGAUCGUGAAGCGCAGGUUUUGUUCAGCAGAGGAUUUGGAGCGAGUGCAGCGGAGGACGCAGAAGAGCCGUCGCCAUGUGCAUUUGACAAAUACCCGGGGGCCGUAUGGGCGAGCUGAUGAGGAUGACGAUGGUGAGUGAGCUCUUGCUGUAGAGUCUGAUGGUUU